RNAcentral lists this small nuclear RNA (105 nucleotides) under Microcebus murinus (gray mouse lemur). The record is from RNAcentral. Lineage: Eukaryota; Metazoa; Chordata; Mammalia; Primates; Cheirogaleidae.
GUACUUACUGCAACAGCACACACUCUAAAAUUGUAACCAUACAGAGAAGAUUAGCAUGGCCCCUGCACAAAUGACACGCAAACUCAUGAAACAUUCCAUAUUUUU